RNAcentral lists this ribosomal RNA (486 nucleotides) under uncultured bacterium. RNAcentral describes it as "partial 16S ribosomal RNA". It matches the Rfam family "Bacterial small subunit ribosomal RNA", at positions 30 to 507 of the family's 1533-position model. The record is from RNAcentral.
AUUGAACGCUGGCGGCAUGCCUUACACAUGCAAGUCGAACGGCAGCACGGGUGCUUGCCCCUGGUGGCGAGUGGCGAACGGGUGAGUAAUACAUCGGAACAUGUCCUGUAGUGGGGGAUAGCCCGGCGAAAGCCGGAUUAAUACCGCAUACGAUCUACGGAUGAAAGCGGGGGACCUUCGGGCCUCGCGCUAUAGGGUUGGCCGAUGGCUGAUUAGCUAGUUGGUGGGGUAAAGGCCUACCAAGGCGACGAUCAGUAGCUGGUCUGAGAGGACGACCAGCCACACUAGGACUGAGACACGGCCCAGACUCCUACGGGAGGCAGCAGUGGGGAAUUUUGGACAAUGGGCGAAAGCCUGAUCCAGCAAUGCCGCGUGUGUGAAGAAGGCCUUCGGGUUGUAAAGCACUUUUGUCCGGAAAGAAAUCCUUGGCCCUAAUACGGUCGGGGGAUGACGGUACCGGAAGAAUAAGCACCGGCUAACUACGUG